RNAcentral lists this ribosomal RNA (739 nucleotides) under Turbinellus floccosus. RNAcentral describes it as "eukaryotic LSU rRNA". It matches the Rfam family "Eukaryotic large subunit ribosomal RNA", at positions 104 to 802 of the family's 3401-position model. Lineage: Eukaryota; Fungi; Basidiomycota; Agaricomycetes; Gomphales; Gomphaceae. The record is from RNAcentral.
GAGCUCAAAUUUGUAAUCUGGCGGCCUUUGGCCGUCCGAGUUGUAGUCUCGAGAAGCGUUUUCUGCGCCGGACCGUGUACAAGUCCCUUGGAACAGGGCGUCACAGAGGGUGAGAAUCCCGUCUUUGACACGGACUGCCGGUGCUUUGUGAUGCGCUCUCAAAGAGUCGAGUUGUUUGGGAAUGCAGCUCAAAACGGGUGGUAAAUUCCAUCUAAAGCUAAAUAUUGGCGAAAGACCGAUAGCGAACAAGUACCGUGAGGGAAAGAUGAAAAGCACUUUGGAAAGAGAGUUAAACAGUACGUCAAAUUGCUGAAAGGGAAACGCUUGAAGUCAGUCGCGUCUCCCGGGACUCAGCCGUGCCCCCAUUCGGGGGGGUGUACUUUCUGGGUAUGACGGGCCCACAUUGAUUUUGGGCCGUCGGAGAAAGGGUUGGGGAAUGGGGCACCUUUGGGUGUGUUAUAACCCUGGGUCGCAUGCCAAGGGUGGGAAUCAAGGACCGCAACACGUUCUUCCUUUUGCAAAGGGGGCUUGGGGGUUCGCCACGCAAACCUUGCUUAAGAUGCUUGGCGUAAUGGCUUUAAACGAACCCGUUUUGAAANACGGACCAAGGAGUCCAACAUGCCUGCGAGUGUUUGGGUGGAAAACCCGGACGCGCAAUGAAAGUGAAAGGUUGGGACCUCUGUCGUGGAGGGCACCGACGCCCGGACCAGACCUUCUGUGACGGUUCCGAGGUAGAGCA